GGAAAAUUAAAGCCAGAUACUGCAGUACCAGUACUAGGCAAAAUUAGUAAAGAAUCCACCAAUGACGAAAAUAGUAAUUGCACCACCAAGAACACAGAAAAUAUGAAAACAAGUGAUAUGAGCAAUGAUUUUACAGGUGUGAGCUGUUUUUAUAGAUUCGAGUGGUGGUGGAAGUUUUAACAUUGGAGAAAAAACACCACAUUCAAAGUUACUUCCUGUGAGUUGUCUCAAGACACCUGAGACUUCCCCAUCGCACUCCAUAUUCCAGAUAACACCAUGUAAUAGUGGGGAAGUUCUGCAAUAUGUUCAUCAACAGAAGACAAAAGAUGACAAAACUGUCAAAAAGAAAGAUGCAAAGUUUAUUCAUACCUCAACAGAAAAUCAGGCUGUAAAUGAUAUAUAUGCAGCACUGCUAAAGGGAGAACCUAUCCCAAAACAUAUAAUAUCGAAAGCAAUGAAUGUUGGCAGUGAUGAUAGUUCAUCUGAAUAUAUUCAAUGAUUUAAUGAGCAUAGAGACCUGGGCCAUAGUAUUUUAUGUGCUGUGCAGUGCUGGCUUGUAUGA
Long non-coding RNA from Schistocerca cancellata (South American locust), 562 nucleotides. RefSeq lists it as uncharacterized. The transcript is spliced from 3 exons. The record is from RefSeq and is a predicted model, not a curated record. Lineage: Eukaryota; Metazoa; Arthropoda; Insecta; Orthoptera; Acrididae.